CACUUCAAGCUGCCUCAGCCACCUCAGCCAGUAGCUGAUUCCACUUUGCAGCCCACGUGGAAUUUGCCACAGGACUUCUGUUGAAUAUUUUCCUGUCUAUGUUUUGGGCCACGGACAUUAGGACUAGUGGAAGUGCAACUGGACAACAGCCUUCCACUGGCUCUAGCCAUACCACAAUAAGGACUGGAGUACUGCGUGUCAGCUGAGAUGUGCAAACCAGGGGAUGAGACUCCUGAUUUCCAUCCACAUGAGACUGAAAGCACUGCCUAGAACAAGACUAAGCAAGCAGGGCUGUUACAAAAUGCCAAGUCUUCCCCCAGGAAUGAUGCAUACCACAAGACUCCUGGAACUGAGGAGGGAAUGUGAUAAACAGUAUGGGUUUGUUUUUAGAGGAAAUAUGCUGCUGUCUCUGCUGAGAAGCUUAGAGAAGUGGGGUGGAGGUGGUAUUUCUUUUUUUUAAAGCCAUCAGCAACUGUUGUCUGCAACCA
Molecule: long non-coding RNA, 488 nt
Organism: Pogoniulus pusillus (Red-fronted tinkerbird)
Lineage: Eukaryota; Metazoa; Chordata; Aves; Piciformes; Lybiidae
Exons: 3
Source: RefSeq, a predicted model, not a curated record